Esox lucius (northern pike) is the source of this 651-nucleotide long non-coding RNA. RefSeq lists it as uncharacterized. The record is from RefSeq and is a predicted model, not a curated record. Lineage: Eukaryota; Metazoa; Chordata; Actinopteri; Esociformes; Esocidae. The transcript has 3 exons.
CUCCAGCAUUUGAAUAGUCACCUUGCCAGGAGGACAUGAGGUCUUGGCCCAGACCUCCUGAGUGCCAGGCUCAAAAGACUUGUCGCUGCCACUGUCCAAAGUCCUCCUGGUUUGUGCUGCAGAUCAAGGGGCAGAAACAACUACAGAUGGCAAACAUUAGGGCCCUUGGGAAUUCUCUGAGUGCCCCUCCAUCUGAAGAGAACAGGAGGGAAGCAGAGGCAGCAAGAAUGCAGGGGGAUCAUUUCAUCACGGACCUUUGGAGUGUGGAGGAGGAGGGGAACUGGAGGAAACAGCCGAGUGGGGCUUUUCAAGGUGUUCCAGACAAUCCAGCUAAGAUGACAACCUACAUACAAGCCCCCAUCAGAUAUGUCAAAGAAGUUUGGAGGAGGUGGCUGGCUCUGAGUGGGAAAUAGAGUGGGAGGUGCAGAGAAGUUUGGAGGAGGUGGCUAGCUCUGAGUGGGUAACAGAGUGGGAGGAGCAGAGAAGUUUGGAGGAGGUGGCUGGCUCUGAGUGGGAAACAGAGUGGGAGGAGCAGAGAAGUUUGGAGGAGGUGGCUGGCUCUGAGUGGGAAACAGAGUGGGAGGAGCAGAGGAAGGGGGAUGAUGAGCAGAUGGAUGCUGAGCAGAGGAAGAAGGAGGAGGGACCAAGGAA